UGUGGUUCAGCAUAUUCAUCUGACUGCAGGUGUUGCAGGAUAAUCCUCAAUUAAGACAGACAGACAGAGAGAGACAGUCUGUGCUCAUCUUCAGUCCUAAAUACGCUCGGCUAGACAGUGAGUGCGCAUGCGCAGGAAGACCCCGCGCGCACAAACGCAGAAGUGAAGACGCUGUGCGGCGGCCAUUACCAUCCAUCAGCGCGCCUCAAUCUGAAGCAGCAAUGGCGGAGUAUAGAUCAGUCCACAACCACUCAGGUGUGUGUCCUCCUCUGGCGUCUCCUGCGCUCGGCACACUGCAGCGGGUGUCUGGAGCCGGGCUUAGCUUGGGUUCUGUUUUCAUUCUGCACUGUCCGGUCAGACACCAAGCGGUGAGCGGAGGGCAGAUCACCUGUGAGUGGAGCCAAGAGGACAACAGUGCACAGUGGAGCGGAGGAACACCACACUGCAGACCUCUGUCCCAUUUCGAAGACAAGGGCUUCCGUUUAGCUCUGCUUCUGUCCUUCAUCAGCUGCGCCAUCAUCCUCUUCAUGAGUGUCAUCUUCAUCACUUCCUGUCUACGGGGAUGUGUCANACGAGAAGAGAAGAGGAGGAUCGACAGGUGACACACACUCACAUACACACACACACACAUUUUAUAUAUUGUAAAAAGGGGCAUAACGGUCACUUUGGUGAUAAUAUCGUAUAUUGUGAUCAAAAUUUCAGUAAUUAGUCACAAUAUGAGAAUGUGAUACCAUCAGCAGCUCAAUCAAACGCUGUGUGAUAAUGAUGACUGUAAUCUGUGUCUUACAGAGCGAGAAACACUGAGUUAU
RNAcentral lists this long non-coding RNA (809 nucleotides) under Danio rerio (zebrafish). RNAcentral's name for it is "sushi domain containing 3 (ENSDARG00000117255.1)". Lineage: Eukaryota; Metazoa; Chordata; Actinopteri; Cypriniformes; Danionidae. The record is from RNAcentral.